AAUCCGCUUGAGUUCUUUAGCUACUGGGAUC
RNAcentral lists this small RNA (31 nucleotides) under Arabidopsis thaliana (thale cress). RNAcentral describes it as "ATSL292450". Lineage: Eukaryota; Viridiplantae; Streptophyta; Magnoliopsida; Brassicales; Brassicaceae. The record is from RNAcentral.